This 256-nucleotide ribosomal RNA is filed under the name uncultured bacterium. Its description in RNAcentral is "partial small subunit ribosomal RNA". It matches the Rfam family "Bacterial small subunit ribosomal RNA", at positions 26 to 285 of the family's 1533-position model. The record is from RNAcentral.
AGGACGAACGCUGGCGGCGUGCUUAACACAUGCAAGUCGAGCGGAAAGGCCCUUCGGGGUACUCGAGCGGCGAACGGGUGAGUAACACGUGAGCAACCUGCCCUUAGCUCUGGGAUAGCUCCGGGAAAACCGGAAUUAAUACCGGAUAUUACACCGGCAGACAUCGGCUGGUGUGGAAAGAUUUAUCGGCUAAGGAUGGACUCGCGGCCUAUCAGCUUGUUGGUGGGGUAGUGGCCUACCAAGGCGACGACGGGUA